AGGGCGAGGGGGUGGGGAGCACUGGAAAUACAGGGCUCCGGCCGGGCAGGCUCGGGAGGAAGUGGCAGUGCCCGGGCUCCGGGGCUGGCUCCAGUCGGUCGUCCCUCGUGCAGGAGGAGGAGGGACUGGAGUAGGCAGCUUCCUCGGUCAGUGUGACACGGCCGGUCACAGACACCCGGGGAGGCAGCACUGGGGUCAGCCCUCGGGAGCCAAGUGUUCCACAAGGACGAAAAGUGGCAUUAUUUAAAACAUUGGAAGAUUUUCUAACCUGAAGGAAUACUCCUCCUCAAGAUCCUCACUAACAUCUGGUACACCCAACUGGAACACAGUCUCCCGGGCUUGGAAGUUUACCCAGCGUAUGCUGAGGGCAUUUGUCACAGGUGAGACGGGAGGGAUUCAGCAGGGGCUGGCCUGGGGUCUGACGGUUCAGGUGACCUGGGCCACUGAGGGCCACGAAUUUCUUCCCUUG
RNAcentral lists this long non-coding RNA (469 nucleotides) under Fukomys damarensis (Damara mole-rat). Its description in RNAcentral is "lncRNA (ENSFDAG00000030934.1)". Lineage: Eukaryota; Metazoa; Chordata; Mammalia; Rodentia; Bathyergidae. The record is from RNAcentral.